Zea mays is the source of this 961-nucleotide long non-coding RNA. RefSeq lists it as uncharacterized. Lineage: Eukaryota; Viridiplantae; Streptophyta; Magnoliopsida; Poales; Poaceae. The record is from RefSeq and is a predicted model, not a curated record. The transcript is spliced from 5 exons.
CACAGGCGACACAUGUAUGCGUCUGCGAUUAGGUAGAGCAAGGGCGGCAUCAAAACUGGCUCACAUUCACAUGGACGGACCACCACGCCCACGCUGCCUGCAGGCAACGGCCACUCGCUGUCGCUGCGCUGCAAACUCCCCGCUCCGGUUCCGGCCAGAUCCAUCCUUGUCCACUACAGAUGUAGAUCAGGUUUGCCAGUGGAGUGCAGGUUUGCCAGUGAACUACAGUGCACUUAUCACUCAGCGAGGCAUAGGAACAGUAGUCUGGUGGUUUAUGCCUCUCAAGAUCGAUUGGUGAUCAGGAUCUGUCUAAUGCUGGAGGCCAUCUUAUUAUUUCAAGCGACGGUGUCUGGGAUGCUUUUGACUGCAGAAAUGGCUUUUAAAUGUGCACGAGGGCUUCCUCCUGAGGCCGCAGCUGAGCCAAUUGUUAAAGAAGCAGUUGAAGCAAAAGGAUUGAGAGAUGAUACAACUUGCAUUGUCAUUGACAUAAUAUCACCAGAGAAACCAAAACGCACUAUACAAUCUCAAAGAACGCCAGGAAAAGGCCUUGUGCUUCUAAAAAAAAUUCUUUUUAAGGAAAACAACAUCUGACUCGUUGUCUCUCCCUUAUAAGAAUAAUUAUCCUGAGCCAGAUUUGGAGGAGGUCUUUGAGGACGGAUGCCCAUCCCUAUCAAGGAGGUAUCAUUGGAAUUCAGUCUUCAGUUUGACAAAUAACGGUUUAGUAGCACCAGAAAAAGAGGGGGUCAUGAUUCCACAGUCUGUUAAGUUAUGAGGUAUCAUUGGAAUUCGUGUCGAUAUGUCAUCCCUGCAAACAUACAACAACGACUUAUUGAUAUCGCUAAAAAGGACUAGAUUAGUGUAUGGUUGUCGAUAUAUUUGUCUGUCAUUAUAAAAUUCUAAAUUGACUCUUAAGAAAUAUUUUGUGUGAUAUUGAUAAUGUUUACCACACGGAUUUUACAUA